Molecule: ribosomal RNA, 370 nt
Filed under: uncultured beta proteobacterium
Lineage: Bacteria; Pseudomonadati; Pseudomonadota; Betaproteobacteria
Description: SSU rRNA
Rfam family: Bacterial small subunit ribosomal RNA
Source: RNAcentral
CUAGUUGGCGGGGUAACGGCCCACCAAGGCGACGAUCUGUAGCUGGUUUGAGAGAACGACCAGCCACACUGGGACUGAGACACGGCCCAGACUCCUACGGGAGGCAGCAGUGGGGAAUUUUGGACAAUGGGCGAAAGCCUGAUCCAGCCAUGCCGCGUGAGUGAAGAAGGCCUUCGGGUUGUAAAGCUCUUUCGGCGGGGACGAAAUAGCGCGGGGUAACAUCCCGCGUCGAUGACGGUACCCGAAGAAGAAGGACCGGCUAACUACGUGCCAGCAGCCGCGGUAAUACGUAGGGUCCAAGCGUUAAUCGGAAUUACUGGGCGUAAAGCGUGAGUAGGCGGCUUCGCAAGUCCGAUGUGAAAUCCCCCGG